Molecule: long non-coding RNA, 543 nt
Organism: Lucilia sericata (common green bottle fly)
Lineage: Eukaryota; Metazoa; Arthropoda; Insecta; Diptera; Calliphoridae
Exons: 3
Source: RefSeq, a predicted model, not a curated record
UAACAAAUUGUUGUUGGCUUAUUUGCCAAAAGAGCUUGAAUUUUGUUGUUGUUUUAAGUCACUGACCACAUAAACAAAUUCAAAAAAGAAAUAACAAAGUAAACAAAAAGUGGAAAAAAAUCAUAAUAACGGUGAUCAUUAUAAGCAGAGGGAAUUUAUAUUUACAAGAAAAAUGCGGUUCCAAUAAAGCUGGAGGAAAUCAUCUGGACUUCAUAACUUACAUACAUACAUAUGUAUGUAUAUUAUUUUGGAUCCCAAGACUAAAGUUUAAAUAAAUUGGUCCAAUAUUUAGUGAGCGGGGUCAAAGGACAAAAAAUUUAGGAAAUAAUAUCUUAGAAUGAACUAAAUUUUCGUUCAGAACAUCACCAACUUAUAUGUACAUAUGUAUGUAUGUACAUACAUACACAUUUAAUUUUUCACCUGCCCACAAUUAAACUUUUUGUAGAUACAAAUGCGACCAAGGAUAAUAUUUAAUUUAAUUAUCAUAGAAAUUUAAAGAAAAAAUCUACCUUUGGACUAUAAAAAGCUGAAAUACAAAUGCAG